AACGAACGCUGGCGGCAGGCCUAACACAUGCAAGUCGAACGCUGUAGCAAUACAGAGUGGCAGACGGGUGAGUAACGCGUGGGAAUCUUCCUAUCGGUACGGCAUAGCUCAGGGAAACUUGGGGUAAUACCGCAUACGCCCUUCGGGGCGAAGAUUUAUCGCGGACGGAUGAGCCAGCGUCUGAUUAGCUAGUUGGUGAGGUAACGGCUCACCAAGGCGACGAUCAGUAGCGGGUCUGAGAGGAUGACCAGCCACACUGGGACUGAGACACGACCCAGACUCCUACGGGAGGCAGCAGUGGGGAAUAUUGAAGAAUGGGGGCAACCCUGAUCCAGCCAUGCCGCGUGAGUGGCGAAGGUCUUCGGAUUGUAAAGCUCGUUUGGCGGGGCCGAUAAUGACGGUACCCGCAGAAUAAGCCCCGGCUAACUUCGUGCCAGCAGCCGCCGUAA
This 449-nucleotide ribosomal RNA is filed under the name uncultured bacterium. Its description in RNAcentral is "partial 16S ribosomal RNA". It matches the Rfam family "Bacterial small subunit ribosomal RNA", at positions 29 to 523 of the family's 1533-position model. The record is from RNAcentral.